GACGAACGCUGGCGGCGUGCUUAACACAUGCAAGUCGAGCGGUAAGGCCCUUUCGGGGGUACACGCGCGGCGAACGGGUGAGUAACACGUGGGUGACCUGCCCUCAGCUCUGGGAUAAGCCUGGGAAACCGGGUCUAAUACUGGAUAUGACUCCAUGACGCAUGUUGUGGGGUGGAAAGCCUUGUGCGGCUGAGGAUGGGCCCGCGGCCUAUCAGCUUGUUGGUGGGGUGANGGCCUACCAAGGCGACGACGGGUAGCCGGCCUGAGAGGGCGACCGGCCACACUGGGACUGAGACACGGCCCAGACUCCUACGGGAGGCAGCAGUGGGGAAUCUUGCGCAAUGGGCGAAAGCCUGACGCAGCGACGCCGCGUGAGGGAUGACGGCCUCGGUU
RNAcentral lists this ribosomal RNA (393 nucleotides) under uncultured bacterium. RNAcentral describes it as "bacterial SSU rRNA". It matches the Rfam family "Bacterial small subunit ribosomal RNA", at positions 28 to 424 of the family's 1533-position model. The record is from RNAcentral.